UACGAAGGAGGGUAGCGUUGUGCGGAAUUACUGGGCGUAAAGGGCGCGUAGGCGGUUUUGUAAGUCAGAUUUGAAAGGCCCGGGCUCAACCCGGGAAUAACAUUUGAUAUUGCCUGGCUUGAGUGCGGGAGAGGAUGGCGGAAUUCCCAGUGUAGAGGUGAAAUUCGUAGAUAUUGGGAAGAACAGCGGUGGCGAAGGCGGCCAUCUGGGACGGUACUGACGCUGAGGCGCGAAAUCGUGGGGAGCAAACAGG
This 253-nucleotide ribosomal RNA is filed under the name uncultured bacterium. RNAcentral describes it as "partial 16S ribosomal RNA". It matches the Rfam family "Bacterial small subunit ribosomal RNA", at positions 524 to 776 of the family's 1533-position model. The record is from RNAcentral.